UACGUAGGUGGCGAGCGUUAUCCGGAAUGAUUGGGCGUAAAGGGUGCGUAGGCGGCCUGCUAAGUCUGGAGUGAAAGGUACCGGCUCAACCGGUACAGGCUCUGGAAACUGGCGGGCUGGAGAGCAGGAGAGGGCGGUGGAACUCCAUGUGUAGCGGUAAAAUGCGUAGAUAUAUGGAAGAACACCAGUGGCGAAGGCGAUUCUCUGGACUGUAACUGACGCUGAGGCUCGAAAGCGUGGGGAGCAAACAGG
This 252-nucleotide ribosomal RNA is filed under the name uncultured bacterium. Its description in RNAcentral is "partial 16S ribosomal RNA". It matches the Rfam family "Bacterial small subunit ribosomal RNA", at positions 524 to 776 of the family's 1533-position model. The record is from RNAcentral.